GAGAUACUCCCUCCGUCCGGAAAUACUUGUCAUCAAAAUGGAUAAAAGGAAAUGUAUCUAGACAUAUUUUAGUUCUAGAUUCUUCCCUUUUUAUCCAUUUUGAUGACAAGUAUUUUCAGACGGAGGGAGUAAUGC
Triticum aestivum (bread wheat) is the source of this 135-nucleotide non-coding RNA. The record is from Rfam. Lineage: Eukaryota; Viridiplantae; Streptophyta; Magnoliopsida; Poales; Poaceae.